CCAACGGCAGAUAGUGCCUACAAUGUUUCCUUGUGUCGCCGUCAGUCAUUCAUGUUACUCCAUGAAUGUAGAAUCGUAGCUCAGUACGUGUAAAUAAUUUCAUAUUUUCCGCAAGACAAUUCUAUAAUACAAAUGUAUACAGGAGUGGGUCAAGCGACGGGCCCGCGCCGUGUCACCAGUGCGUAGGAGCACCGCUGCGUCAUCCACGUGCAUCUCAAAAACCUUUCCACAAAAACUCACGCUAACCGACUAGCGAGGCAAAAGGCGACGAAGCUUUUAAACUUUAGGAACUUUUUCCCGUCGUAUCGCAUUCGUCAAGUGACAAGUACCUACACAAAGUGUCUAAUUAGUAUUCAUCUGGGCGCGUGUAGACCUCUUCGCGGUGGGGACGGGUUAUUAGCCGGCGCCGCCUCCGCGCCCAGGCAUAUUGUUCCGAGUUCUGCCCACCGAGCGCCGUACGCUCGCCCGACCAACGAUAAUUCAUAUUGUCAAUAUUUGUACUGCAACAACGAACCGACGAUUUCACCAGAGGAAGCCGAGCCGGUGGCUGGGAAGGCAAGAAGUCGGCAUAGCUGUUUGAAAAUGAUAUACGGCUGUGUCACUUCGAGCCAGCUCAAUCCACCGGCUUUCUGCAUAAAGAAGAUUUGCGGACGCUGCCGUAACGUGAAAAUUCGGAUCGCUCCCGUAGCGGCGCGACUCCGGCCGGGAGAGGGCGCAUUGACAGCUGUCACUGGGCACUAUUUCGCUUUCUUCGCGGCCGGACGUGGGAGGAAAUCGUUUAUUUUUAUCACACACGACGAUGUUCCCGUAGAGUGCGACCGGCUGUGUACGUGCGUGACGAAACGAUCGAAAACAAGACGACAAAAUGCCGAACGAGGAGGUGUUGGGUCCGCGGAAGACGAUGUUCGUACUAGUGAUUGUUGUGGGAUGUUUCGCGGUGCUGUGGCCCAGGAUUCUGUCGCCGCUGAUCUUGGGCCACUCGCGGGACCAGCUCAAACCGAACGCGUUCGACCGGGAGGCAGGAUGCUGCGAAGUGAUGUUCGAGACAGAACUGGCGGUAUUGGAACUGAUCAACGAGGUAUGUAGUUCAGCAGUCCACGUGGACGGAAAGCUCUCUCCAUACGCCGCGGCGGAGUGUCGCAAAGCCGUCAACGAGACCUGCGGAGUAGAUAUAGCGGCAUUCCUCAAACGAAAUGAGAACAUCGGCAAGACCUCCAAGAAACUAGUCGAGACUAUGAAGAACAGCAACUCCUCGUGCCUUAAGGAGCAUUUUGGCGUGCCCGUCUGGAGUCUCGCUCCUCACCAGGCGUUCAACUCAUGGACCCUACAAGACACUGUAAAACAAGAGCGUCCUCUGAACCGCGGCGCAGGGCCGCAUCCAGCACUGCGAGAGCGGGGCCGCGCGAUUCCUCAGGGCGUGGCCCCCGCGAGACCCGCGACACCGAUGCCGCCCCACGUUCGGGUACGAUCCUCCCCGCUAUCAGUGUACUAUGAGCUGGACAUCAAGCCACCACCGAUCCCGGGCAUGCGGCCCCCGCUCGGCUCGCCCGGGGGUCCGGUGCCCACGCCCAAGUCGUCCAUGGGGUUCGUCAUGCCGAUCUACACGAUAUGCAUCAUAGUGUUCUUCGUGUACACACUUAGCAAGAUCCUGUUCAAGCGCACCGCGUCCCCCUACGAGCCUGUUAGUCCCGACCCCCACUUCAGGAGCAGGGUGUUCCGCGACGACUCCAGGACGUCGCCCGACAAGCUCGUUGUUACUGCAAUAUCGGGCCUGGUGGCAGAGGUACAGCAGCAGAUGGAGGCGAGCUACGCGCAAAACCAGCAGCGACAGGAGGCCCAGGAUGAGCAGGCUCGCCCGUACACGAACGGUACAAUACUUCACAACACCGGCCCGGUGCAUAUCGUCGCCAGCGAAUACCAGGAAGUAUCCAAGGAAAAGACUCCUGAACCUCAGAGGGAAGUGCCAGAACCUUCACCUGAAGUGAAGGAACCUGCCCCUGAACCUGAAAAGCCUCUGUCAAAAGAAUCUUUAGAGACGAAAGAGUCUGAGGAAUUAGAGGCUGAAAAACAAGAAGAAUUGGUUCAAGAAAUACCUGCAACACAAUCUGAAGAAGCAGAGACGGACGAUGUUAAAGAAGAGAAGGGUCCAGAAGAAAAUGACUUAAAACUCGUUGCUGACGAUGAAGUGGACGAAAAUGGUGGCGAAGCUAAAUUCGAUAAAGAAGAAUCGGGUUCAGAGCCAGAGUUAAUAGAAAUUAAUAAUAAAGAGGAUGAACUGAUUAAAUUAACAAACGAUGACGUAGAAAGCGAUGACUACGUCAAAGUGGUACAGGAUUUCUUGAACGAGGAAGCUAAAAUAGACGUGAAAGAAGAGAAACAAUCGACUCCGGAUCUCCUGGAAGUAGCUAUUAAAGAGGACUCGCCUGAUAAACCUGAGGAUGACCAAGAAAAUGCUAGUGUAAAGGUGGUAGGCAUGGAGGUGACGGCGCACACGGCGGACGGCGGCGCGCUGCCCCGCGCUCCCCCGCCGCCCGCGCCCGCGCCUGCGCCCCAGCGCCCGAUGGUGGUGAGCGGUAAAAUGACUUUGUCACUCAUACAGGACGCACCGAGAGACACUCCUGAGAAGGAUCCAGAAUCAACAGUGGAUGAUUUCACAACAGCCAGUGCAAUCACUCAACCCGCCGCUGAUAAACAAGUUGAAGAAGAGUCCGACGAAGAAAUAGAGAUCGAAGAAGAAAUAGAAGUGGAAGAGAUCGAGGAAGAGGAAGAAGUUGAGGAGAUUGAGGAAGACGAAGAGAACGAACCGGUGGAGGCGAAGAAACCAGAAGCAAAGGAACCAGUCAAAGUGCAAGAAGUAAAGGAAGCUGUUAAAGUACAGGAAGAAGUAAAACAAGCAGAAGAAGAUUCCGAAGAGGAGGUAGAAGUAAAUGAAGAUGAGGAACCAAUACAAGAUUCGAAAUUUGAACCGGUUAAAGAACUAGAUGCCGAUAAAGAAGAAGAAUAUUCUGAGGAAGAAAUUGAGGAAAAUGAGGAACCAGUGAAAGAGUCAGUUAAGGUAAAGGAACCGGUGAAAUUAAAAGAGCCAGUUAAAGGAAAACCAUCUGUAGAACAUUCAGAAGAUGAUAAGGAACAGAAGAAAGCGAAAGGAGAUAAAGAAUGAACUGAUAGGAAUUAACUUGUAGUGAGAGAAUGUUUGGUGGUUCUGUAAAGAAAAAUAUUAAACAAGUAAAAUGGAUUCAAAUAAAAAUACCUACAUUAUUUGGCCCUUUAAAUGGAAUCCAAAGAAGGAAUUAGGAAGGCAUAAUUUUUGAGCACCACCGAAAAUUUUUCACGUUUGAAGAAAAAAUACAUCAGGCAAAAACAACAUUAGUAUAUUUCAUACGGAACCACUAAACAGUUAUUUUAUCUUUAAAUAUAAUUUUAAAAAUGUUUAUUUUUGCAAGUUAUAUUUUCGUAUGCUUUCGCUCGUCACGUUAUUUUUUUACAAUUAUAUUUUUACCUUCGAUUGUCGUUUAUUUAAGAUGUAUAUUUCGUGCAGAUGUCGCCGUUCGCUUGUAGUAUAAGAUUUUAAGUGUGUUUAUGGACGUGGCAGUUUCUGGGGCAUAAUUUAUCAAUAUAAAAAAAAGACACUAAAAUUUUAGGCCUUGACAAAUCUAGUCAUUUUAAAAUUACUAUACUAAAAAGAUUUACAAUUACUCAGGUUUGUCUAUAAUCUUCAAUGACAACAAAAAUUAGCAUUGUAUGUUCAUCGAUCGAAAAUAACCAAUCAAAAUAAGUAAUUAGUAUGCCAUCAUUUAAUUCCAAUUUUUUCUUACAGUGAUUUGAUAAUCUAUUAAUUUCGAUCGAGAGAAUGUAAGAUGAUGCCUCAGUAUGCCGUAAGAGUGUCCAUGAACAUGGAACUACGAAUUUAGCAUUGCUCUCAGUGUUCGAUAUUUUUGUGCCAAAUUUACUUCGAGCUUUUUAAUUUUGUCAUAGUUUUACAUUGACCCCACACAUUUUGUAUUACAUUGACACCCCAUUGGCAAGUUUCCGGUUUAAACUACGAUAUUUAAAGAACCGGAAUGAGGUAGCCAGAAAAAUUACUGGAUAUUAUGAGCUUCACAGUUAAUGCGUCAUGGUGAAGAACACAAUGCUUUACCAUGUACUUGUAAUUUAAAGUUUUGAAAGAUUGUUUUUCGAAAACGUUGCUCGUCUCAUACUGUUCAAUUACAUAUUUUUACUGCUUAAUAUAUAUAUUUCAAUGGGGUGAUAUAACUAACUAUGUAUCAAUGUAUCAUUUAUAGGUUAGCGGUGAUGGACACGGCAGAGAAAAAAUCGAUUAAAUAUUGAAACUAUGACUCAUGAUCAUUCGCAUAUGGUUUCUAGUUACGUAAGUGUAAUUUCAAGCGAAGCGAAUUUUUUUUAUGAUAAUUUUAACCUUAUAGGAGACAUAAUUAGAUGUGGUUUCCAUUAUCUUCGAUUAGUCUAAUUGCCGGCACUCCGUCAGCGCUGAACCUUUAAAUUCACAGUCGCUGCUGGUCAUGGUUGAUGACGUCAUUUGUUGUUUCUUAGGCUGUCUUGCCAAAAUAUUUGUGGAUUAGUAUAGACAAUUUUUUUACCCUUAGCAAAUCUAAUUUGUGGCAAAUCUUCCUUCCAAAUGUUUAGCCAAAUUUUUACAAUGUUUUCCUAUUAUACACUAAUGUAUGAAUUAUAGGUAAUAAUAUAAAUUAAUAUUGUAUGAUCGCUUGCAAAAAAUAUUGUAUUAUAAUUAACAUUUUUUUUUUGAUUCUGUUAUGUAAAAUUUGUUAGAAUAUAAGAACCAGUUAUGGACUUGCCGACGUAUAAUUAUCAAAAAAAAAAGGUUGGAUUGAUCCUACAAUUUUUUACAGCAAUUUUUCUUGCAAGCGAUUUUUUAUUAGUAUCAUGCCCCAACCUCUACAUGUGUUAAUGUAUUGGGUGUGUUAGAAUAGACGGUAAUUUUGCACUGGCGUGUAGUUUUUAUGCAUUUAAGUUUAUAUCUUUGUGAUUUGUUAAGAAAAACAUUAUUUAUUUUGUUAUAUUUUUUUGCGGAAUGAACCCUUUAUGUGCGGAAUUUUUCGUCAAUAUUUUAUCAUACCUCAUUGUAUGACGGUUAGGUCUAUGGGGUAACGUGAUACAUCGCAUAAUAAGGGUGAAAAUAUUUAUUUUUGAAUGUUAACUAAUUUAUAUUAUUGAUUGUAAAUUUUUGUUUACUGUGGAAAUGUUUUUAGACGUUUUAUAAUCGAGUGUAACUUAUUAAUACAUGGUAUUCAGCAUUCCUUGUCUUUCUGAAUGUGUAGUAGAUCCAGAUCAGAUUGUCUAUUUAAAUGUAAACAUACACAUUUCCGAUAUGUAUUGCUUGUUUUUAGUUGUAAUAAAAUAACAGUAAAAAUGUUUUUUCUUUGUGCAAGUCUAGUUCCCAGUUAUGGACAAAACUAUCGUCACUUCCG
Molecule: microRNA precursor, 5447 nt
Filed under: Manduca sexta (tobacco hornworm)
Lineage: Eukaryota; Metazoa; Arthropoda; Insecta; Lepidoptera; Sphingidae
Rfam family: mir-31 microRNA precursor family (bases 543-623)
Source: RNAcentral